This is a non-coding RNA of Albula glossodonta (roundjaw bonefish), 73 nucleotides long. NCBI's taxonomy places the organism in Eukaryota, Metazoa, Chordata, Actinopteri, Albuliformes, Albulidae. The record is from the annotation of a GenBank genome assembly.
GCCUGACUAGCUCAGUCGGUAGUACAUGAGACUCUUAAUCUCAGGGUUGUUGGUUUGAGCCCCACAUUGGACG